GUGGAUUAGAUACCCUGGUAGUCCUAGCUGUAAACGAUGUUGACUUGGCGUUGGUGGGGUAAAAGCCAUCAGUGCCGUAGCUAACGCGAUAAGUCAACCGCCUGGGGACUACGGCCGCAAGGUUAAAACUCAAAGGAAUUGACGGGGGCCCGCACAAGCAGCGGAGCGUGUGGUUUAAUUCGAUGCUACGCGAAGAACCUUACCCGGGUUUGACAUAUAGGUAGUAGGGAUCUGAAAGGUGACCGACCCUUCGGGGAGCCUAUACAGGUGCUGCACGGCUGUCGCCAACU
RNAcentral lists this ribosomal RNA (290 nucleotides) under uncultured bacterium. RNAcentral's name for it is "partial 16S ribosomal RNA". It matches the Rfam family "Bacterial small subunit ribosomal RNA", at positions 773 to 1060 of the family's 1533-position model. The record is from RNAcentral.